RNAcentral lists this ribosomal RNA (497 nucleotides) under uncultured bacterium. RNAcentral describes it as "partial 16S ribosomal RNA". It matches the Rfam family "Bacterial small subunit ribosomal RNA", at positions 28 to 507 of the family's 1533-position model. The record is from RNAcentral.
GAUGAACGCUGGCGGCGUGCCUAAUACAUGCCAGUCGAGCGAACAGAUAAGGAGCUUGCUCCUUUGACGUUAGCGGCGGACGGGUGAGUAACACGUGGGUAACCUACCUAUAAGACUGGGAUAACUUCGGGAAACCGGAGCUAAUACCGGAUAACAUUUGGAACCGCAUGGUUCUAAAGUGAAAGAUGGUUUUGCUAUCACUUAUAGAUGGACCCGCGCCGUAUUAGCUAGUUGGUAAGGUAACGGCUUACCAAGGCAACGAUACGUAGCCGACCUGAGAGGGUGAUCGGCCACACUGGAACUGAGACACGGUCCAGACUCCUACGGGAGGCAGCAGUAGGGAAUCUUCCGCAAUGGGCGAAAGCCUGACGGAGCAACGCCGCGUGAGUGAUGAAGGGUUUCGGCUCGUAAAACUCUGUUAUUAGGGAAGAACAAACGUGUAAGUAACUGUGCACGUCUUGACGGUACCUAAUCAGAAAGCCGCGGCUAACUACGUG